Molecule: ribosomal RNA, 278 nt
Filed under: uncultured prokaryote
Description: partial 16S ribosomal RNA
Rfam family: Bacterial small subunit ribosomal RNA
Source: RNAcentral
UACGAAGGGUGCAAGCGUUAAUCGGAAUUACUGGGCGUAAAGCGCGCGUAGGUGGUUCGUUAAGUUAGGAGUGAAAGCCCCGGGCUCAACCUGGGAAUUGCUUCUAAAACUGGCGAGCUAGAGUAUGGUAGAGGGUGGUGGAAUUUCCUGUGUAGCGGUGAAAUGCGUAGAUAUAGGAAGGAACAUCAGUGGCGAAGGCGACCACCUGGACUGAUACUGACACUGAGGUGCGAAAAGCGUGGGGAGCAAACAGGAUUAGAUACCCGUGUAGUCCCUGA